UUUUUCAUGAAUUAUUUGUUCCAAUAGCUUCUUUCUAUCAAUUAUUGAUAGAAAGAAAGUCUAAUCAAAAAAAUUUAAUUAAUGUUUUUUUGAAUAAUAAUUUUCAACGUUGUUUUUCUGCUUCAAAUGGUCAAUAGAUGGCGACUUAGGUCGAAAAUACAAAAUAAGUGAAUACAAAAACUUAAUGAAUCUGACCUGAUAAAUUUUAAUUUAAUUAAAUUUAACUGUGAAUUUAAAAAUAAAUUUUGUUUUAAUAUUGUUCAACUAAUCACACGGAUCAAGUUGAUACCUAAAUUAUGACAUUUCAACUGCUACUUAAAUUGUUCUAGAUAUUCUUAAAACUGAGACGUUAUUAAUUCGCAGCCAUGUGUUUUCUUGCCAACCAUUUUGGACCUUUGGACAAUCGCCAUAAUUUUGAAAAGGACUCUGGUCCAUGGAAAACAUUUUGAGGAGAAAAAUUUAUAGAGAAUAGCCCUUUAUUGGGAUUAGGCGAACAGAAUUUUGUGAAUUAAUUAAUAUCUCAUAUGUAAUUCGACCUCAGGGGAGAAAAAUUUAUUACUUAUUAUUUAUUAUUUUCUUCUCUUUUCUUCGUCCCUUAUUCCCUUCCUUGUCUCUUAUUUCCUUUUCCCUGGUACGGUUGUAUUUGCCGGAAACGAUGAAUUUUCAUUCAUCGAAGCCUCCCCUGAGGUCGCUGUUAAAGCUUAAAAAUAAAUACAAAAUAAGUGUGUGACUUACUGUA
Long non-coding RNA from Panonychus citri (citrus red mite), 739 nucleotides. RefSeq lists it as uncharacterized. Lineage: Eukaryota; Metazoa; Arthropoda; Arachnida; Trombidiformes; Tetranychidae. The transcript is spliced from 2 exons. The record is from RefSeq and is a predicted model, not a curated record.